CAGGCUAGAGUGCAGGAGAGGAAGGUAGAAUUCCCGGUGUAGCGGUGAAAUGCGUAGAGAUCGGGAGGAAUACCAGUGGCGAAGGCGGCCUUCUGGACUGACACUGACGCUGAGGUGCGAAAGCGUGGGUAGCAAACAGGAUUAGAUACCCUGGUAGUCCACGCCGUAAACGAUGUCGACUAGCCGUUGGGGUCCUCGAGACCUUUGUGGCGCAGUUAACGCGAUAAGUCGACCGCCUGGGGAGUACGGCCGCAAGGUUAAAACUCAAAUGAAUUGACGGGGGCCCGCACAAGCGGUGGAGCAUGUGGUUUAAUUCGAUGCAACGCGAAGAACCUUACCUACUCUUGACAUCGAGCGAACUUUCCAGAGAUGGAUUGGUGCCUUCGGGAACGCUCAGACAGGUGCUGCAUGGCCGUCGUCAGCUCGUGUUGUGAAAUGUUGGGUUAAGUCCCGUAACGAGCGCAACCCUUGUCCCUAUUUGCCAGCGAUUCGGUCGGGAACUCUAGGGAGACUGCCGGUGACAAACCGGAGGAAGGUGGGGACGACGUCAGGUCAUCAUGGCCCUUACGAGUAGGGCUACACACGUGCUACAAUGGCCGGUACAAUGGGCUGCAAUCCCGCGAGGGGGAGCCAAUCUCAUAAAGCCGGUCUCAGUCCGGAUCGGAGUCUGCAACUCGACUCCGUGAAGUCGGAAUCGCUAGUAAUCGUGCAUCAGAAUGGCACGGUGAAUACGUUCCCGGGCCUUGUACACACCGCCCGUCACACCA
Molecule: ribosomal RNA, 767 nt
Filed under: Halomonas sp. JSM 111095
Lineage: Bacteria; Pseudomonadati; Pseudomonadota; Gammaproteobacteria; Oceanospirillales; Halomonadaceae
Description: bacterial SSU rRNA
Rfam family: Bacterial small subunit ribosomal RNA
Source: RNAcentral